AUGUCAAGAUUUGGACAAUUUAUAGGAAAAGGCUAUGAGUGCGGAGACUUGUUCCGCUUUUCUCUUUCAGAUUUUUGCAAUAAGUCAAUAAACCAAAUUUGUGCUAGUGUUAAUGAUGAUGCAAGUAUUUGGCACUCUCGUUUAUGUCAUAUUAAUUUUGGUUUAAUGUCUCGGCUAUCCAGCAUGAGUUUAAUUCCGAACUUCACAGUUGCCAAAGGUUCUAAGUGCCAUAGUUGUGUGCAAUCUAAGCAACCUCGAAAGCCUCAUAAGGCUGCCGAGGAGAGAAACUUGGCACCUCUAGAACUCAUACAUUCUGAUCUUUGUGAGAUGAAUGGUGUGUUGACAAAAGGUGGAAAGAGAUAUUUCAUGACUUUGAUUGAUGAUGCGACUAGAUUUUGCUAUGUUUAUUUGUUGCAAACUAAAGAUGAAGCAUUAGACUACUUUAAAAUCUAUAAAGCUGAAGUUGAAAAUCAACUAGAGAGAAAUAUCAAGCGUCUUAGGUCCGAUCGUGGUGGAGAGUAUUUUCCAAAAGUUUUUGAUGAAUUUUGUGAGGAACAUGGUAUUAUUCAUGAGAGGACGCCUCCCUAUUCACCUCAAUCAAAUGGAGUGGCCGAGAGGAAAAACCGCACAUUGACUGACUUGGUGAAUGCCAUGUUAGACACUGCGGGUUUAUCUAAGGCAUGGUGGGGGGAGGCUCUAUUGACUUCAUGUCAUGUCCUGAAUAGAGUUCCCAACAAUAAUAAAGAGAAAACCCCUUAUGAGGAGUGGGUUGGGAGAAAACCAUCACUUUCUUAUUUGCGCACUUGGGGAUGUUUGGCAAAGGUCAAUAUUCCUAUUCCUAAGAAACACAAACUUGGACCAAAGACAGUGGAUUGUGUCUUUCUAGGAUAUGCUCAACGGAGCAUUGCUUAUAGGUUUUUAGUGGUAAAAUCUGAAGUACCUGAUAUGCAUGUUGAUACUAUAAUGGAAUCUCAUGACGCAACAUUUUUUGAGAACAUAUUUCCUAUGAAAGAUAUGCAUAGCAUUGCUAGAUUUUCUUCUGAGAUAAUUCCUGAAUCUAGUACAACUGAUGAAUAUUUCGAACAAUCACAUGAGGAAGUCCUUGAGAAGGAUAACAAUGAAGUUCCUAGAAGGAACAAGAGAUAA
This 1146-nucleotide ribosomal RNA is filed under the name Triticum aestivum (bread wheat). RNAcentral's name for it is "partial small subunit ribosomal RNA". Lineage: Eukaryota; Viridiplantae; Streptophyta; Magnoliopsida; Poales; Poaceae. The record is from RNAcentral.